GUCGGCCUCCGUUGACGUCAGCACGCCUCGCGGGUUCCAGCCCCUCAGCCCGGCCCCCAACUACCGCGCGAGACGGGCGGGGGCGGGGUGCCGGCCCGCGGCGCUAUCCCGUCCGACCGCGCCAGUUUGAAUGAAAGCUCCUCAAGAUGGCGGCGGCCGGGGCCGAGGCGCGAGGAGCUUGGUGUGUGCCUUGCCUAGUUUCACUUGAUACUCUUCAGGAAGUAUGUAGAAAAGAAAAGCUCACAUGUAAAUCGAUUGGAAUCACCAAAAGGAAUCUAAACAAUUAUGAGGUGGAAUACUUGUGUGACUACAAGGUAGUAAAGGAUAUGGAAUAUUAUCUUGUAAAAUGGAAAGGAUGGCCAGACUCUACAAAUACUUGGGAACCUUUGCAAAAUCUCAAGUGCCCGUUACUACUUCAGCAAUUCUCUAAUGACAAGCAUAAUUAUUUAUCUCAGGUAAAGAAAGGCAAAGCAAUAACUCUAAACAAUAACAAAGCUUUGAAACCUGCCAUUGCUGAAUACAUUGUAAAGAAGGCUAAACAAAGGAUAGCUCUGCAAAGAUGGCAAGAUGAACUCAACAGAAGAAAAAAUCAUAAAGGAAUGAUUUUUGUUGAAAAUACUGUUGACUUAGAGGGCCCACCUUCAGACUUCUACUACAUUAAUGAAUACAAACCUACUCCUGGAAUCAGCUUAGUAAAUGAAGCUACCUUUGGUUGUUCAUGCACAGAUUGCUUCUUUGAUAAGUGUUGUCCUGCUGAAGCUGGAGUUCUUUUGGCUUAUAAUAAAAACCAACAAAUUAAAAUCCCACCUGGUACCCCUAUUUAUGAAUGCAACUCAAGAUGCCAAUGUGGACCCGAUUGUCCCAAUAGGAUUGUACAGAAAGGCACACAGUAUUCACUUUGCAUCUUUCGAACUAGCAAUGGCUGUGGCUGGGGUGUAAAAACCCUUGUGAAGAUUAAAAGAAUGAGUUUUGUCAUGGAAUAUGUUGGAGAGGUAAUCACAAGUGAAGAAGCUGAAAGACGGGGGCAGUUAUAUGACAACAAAGGAAUCACAUACCUCUUUGAUCUGGAUUAUGAAUCUGAUGAAUUCACAGUGGAUGCAGCUCGAUAUGGAAAUGUGUCUCAUUUUGUGAAUCACAGUUGUGACCCAAAUCUUCAGGUGUUCAAUGUUUUCAUUGAUAACCUCGAUACUCGUCUUCCCCGAAUAGCAUUAUUUUCCACAAGAACCAUAAAUGCUGGAGAAGAGCUCACUUUUGAUUAUCAAAUGAAAGGUUCUGGAGAUAUAUCUUCAGACUCUAUUGACUACGGCCCAGCCAAAAAGAGAGUCAGAACUGUGUGCAAAUGUGGAGCUGUGACUUGCAGAGGUUACCUCAACUGAAUUUUCAGGAAAUAGAGCUGAGGAUAAAUGUUGCUCCCCUUGGCCAACCAUUCUUUGAAUUAUAAUUGGCUACAAAAAGGAUACAAAAAUACUGAUGUAUUCCUGACUACCUGCUGUUGAGAUUAACCAAAGGUUUAUAUACAUUUCCUUUCAAUGUUAGAUUUCUUUUUAAACAGUUAAUUGUUGUCAU
Molecule: RNA transcript, 1566 nt
Organism: Eptesicus fuscus (big brown bat)
Lineage: Eukaryota; Metazoa; Chordata; Mammalia; Chiroptera; Vespertilionidae
Gene: SUV39H2
Gene name: SUV39H2 histone lysine methyltransferase
Exons: 8
Source: RefSeq, a predicted model, not a curated record